CGCCACCAGUGUGGCGCUCGUUUUGAGCGCCACAGGUGUGGCGCGGCGUGGCCGCCGGCGCGCCGAUCCAAACUAGCCCUAUGUAUCUGCGCACCGUUUAACAUGUCGCCGCCGGUUGGAAUUCCCUACUCCAUUCCGAGCUGCCGCCAUCGCCACCACUGCGCCGCCAAUUCGAAUCGGAUCCCCACUCCGUUCCGAGCUGCCGCCAUCGCCACCGCUGCGCCGCCGAUUCGAAUCGGAUCCCCACUCCUUUCCAAACUGCCGCCAUCGCCACCGCUGCGUCGCCAAUGGGCUCGACGUGCCUGUCGUGCGGCGAGGGCGCGGUGGUGGCAGACGCGGACUCGGGCGUGCUCGUCUGCACCUCAUGCGGCAUCAUCCAGGACGCCGGCGGCGCGGAGUUCGUCCACCAGUCCACCUUCAACGAGUCGGGGGGCCUCGAUCGCCGCGUCUCCUCCCUCGUCCGCAACGACUCCGACUCCGCCUACCGCGACCAGAAGCUCGCCAUCGCCACCGCGGGCAUCACCUCCAUCGCCACCCGCCUCGGCCUGUCCCACACCCGCGCCGAGGAGGCGCUCCGCAUGGCCAAGUCCGCCACCGACGGCCAGCUCGCCACCCCGGGCAGCGCCUUCCUCCCUGCCCUCGCCGCCGCCUGCGCCCUUCUCGUCGCGCGGUCCCACCGCCUCCCGCUCUCCCUCGCCGAGGCCGCGGAGGCCGCCUUCUGCUCCGCGCCCGCCCUCGCCGACCUGGUCUCCCGCGUCACCGCCCAGCUAUCCCUCCCUCCCCUCCCAUGCUUCGACUACACCGCCGCGCUCGACCGUGCCGUGCACCUCUCGACCUCGCUCAACGCCGCCGCGCCCGACAAGACGGACGCCAUUCUCGCCCAGGCCCGGUUCCUCUUCCGCUGCGCAUCCAAGUGGUCGCUCACCACGGGGCGGUUUCCACUUCCCCUCGUCGCGGCUCUGCUCGCCUUCUCUGCGGAGGUGAACGGGGUCACUUCUGUCUCUUUGGAGGACAUUGCAAGGGACAUCUCGGCAGGAUUGAGGACCAGCCUGCUCCGAUACAAGGAGCUCGUUGACGCCCUGGUGCAUGUCGCGGGGCACCUGCUUCCAUGGGGUGCCGAUGUCAAUGCCAAGAACCUGCUCCUCAACGCUCCGGUCUUGCUCCGGCUCAUGGAGAUGCGGUCACAAUCGGACCCUUCUGAAGAGUUUCUUAUGAGCUGCGCUCCGAACAUUGCUGCAAUUGUGCAGGCUAACUCUAAAGUUGAUGACGAAGUGUCUAAAUACCUUCACAUUACUCCAGUGGGUUCUGAUGACUUUGAUUUCGAUAAUCUUGAGCCAGAGGAGAAAGAAUUUGAAAAUCAGAAUAUCUCAGAGAAGGGCCUAUCAGAUGCUUACCAAAAUGUCUUAAAUAGGCUUGCCCAGCUACAGAAACUUGGGAAGGUUGGUAAAGGUACUGACAGGAGGAAGCGAUUGAAAGGAGGACUGGAGCUGGAGCCAUGCAUGGACACAGUGAAUAAUGGUUGGAGAAAGGACAUGCUGCUUGAGGAUGUGGUGGAUAUUGACGUUGGCUAUGAUGCACCUCCACCAUCGUUUACUGCUGGUUUGGAGUUGCAGAAGCAGAGGAGAGCACGUAUUGAAGCUGCUAAGCAGCGAAUUGAUGCAACUAGGAAGGCUCCUGCUGCUCCAGCUGCAAAAGCAAAUAACUCAGAAGACGUUGUAAGAAAAAAAUUGACCAUGAAGAAUCGAGGGGGAAAGAAGAAGGAUGAUAUCGAUCAUAUCCUUCCCAGUGACAAUAUGACAGGUUGUUCAGGUGCUAGGAAAAAGAGACGAAGAGGUUCCUGUGACAGUAUUGAUUGGGAAGAUUGCAUCAUUGAGCUCCUGCUACUGCAUGGUGCAAAUGAAGCUGAGAUUGAACAAGGCCAGUACAGAAGAUUGUUGGAGUUGCAUGUAUUCAGUGCAGUAAGUGGGGAGAAUUGAAAAAUGAAGCCCGACUCGCCGCCCAGCACCGUCGUCUGCAAAGCCAGCUGCCGAGUCCAGGAUCCAACACAUUCUACCCCUGCUUAAUUCUCAAGUGUUCGCCGUUGCCUUCGCUGUAUUAGCUGCUGGUGCUAUAGUUCUGACACUCAAUGUUCUACUGCUGGGUGGGAACAUCAUCUUCUUCCAAAGCCUCAGUCUUCUCGGAUACUGUCUGUUCCCGCUGGACGUGGGGGCUCUGAUUUGCAUGCUUAAGGACAGCGUCAUACUAAAGAUGGUUGUGGUGACGGUAACAUUGGCAUGGAGCUCUUGGGCAGCAUACCCCCUCAUGAGUGCUGCUGUUAACCCAAAGAGAAAGGCCCUGGCGCUGUAUCCCGUGUUCCUCAUGUAUAUCUCAGUUGCAUGUCUCAUAAUUGCUAUAGAUUAAGGCGGGCAUGGUUUCUACAGAACUAACAGAAGAAUUACAGGAUUUUGUUUUCUAGCUGGAUCAUCAAAAUGCAUAUUAUUUUCUUUUUUUGGCUGCGUAUAGAUCUGGGUUCACAUUGUUAUUGUAGUUUUUGCUGGCUGCUUCAAUACUUUAUUUCAUUUUGUUUAAGAAAAAAAUCACAGGGAUUUAGAAUGUAGUCAAUCAAAUGUAUGAAUGUUGUAUAGCCAUACAGAUAUCUUGCUGUUUCGCAUCUAUGUGGAUAAUCUGGAAUGGACUGCUGAAGCCUGAAUAAGUGAAUUACUCUGUUUUACCA
RNA transcript from Zea mays, 2713 nucleotides. RefSeq lists it as uncharacterized. The transcript is spliced from 4 exons. The record is from RefSeq and is a predicted model, not a curated record. Lineage: Eukaryota; Viridiplantae; Streptophyta; Magnoliopsida; Poales; Poaceae.